Molecule: ribosomal RNA, 435 nt
Filed under: uncultured bacterium
Lineage: Bacteria
Description: bacterial SSU rRNA
Rfam family: Bacterial small subunit ribosomal RNA
Source: RNAcentral
AACGCGAAGAACCUUACCUAAGCUUGACAUCCUUUUGACCGAUGCCUAAUCGCAUCUUUCCCUUCGGGGACAGAAGUGACAGGUGGUGCAUGGUUGUCGUCAGCUCGUGUCGUGAGAUGUUGGGUUAAGUCCCGCAACGAGCGCAACCCUUGCCUUUAGUUGCCAGCAUUAAGUUGGGCACUCUAGAGGGACUGCCAGGGAUAACCUGGAGGAAGGUGGGGAUGACGUCAAAUCAUCAUGCCCCUUAUGAUUUGGGCUACACACGUGCUACAAUGGCGUGAACAGAGGGAAGCAGAGCCGCGAGGCCGAGCGAAUCUCAAAAAACGCGUCCCAGUUCGGACUGUAGUCUGCAACCCGACUACACGAAGCUGGAAUCGCUAGUAAUCGCAGAUCAGAAUGCUGCGGUGAAUACGUUCCCGGGUCUUGUACACACCG